RNAcentral lists this transfer RNA (65 nucleotides) under Ornebius fuscicerci. Its description in RNAcentral is "tRNA-Pro". Lineage: Eukaryota; Metazoa; Arthropoda; Insecta; Orthoptera; Mogoplistidae. The record is from RNAcentral.
UCAAAGAUAGUUUAACAAAAAUUUUAAUUUUGGAGAUUGAGGAUGAAAAAUAAUUUCUCUUUGAA